UGCCGUUAAACACCCCACUUCUGAAAGUUGACCUCGGAUCAGGUAGGAAUACCCGCUGAACUUAAGCAUA
Molecule: ribosomal RNA, 70 nt
Filed under: Myrothecium inundatum
Lineage: Eukaryota; Fungi; Ascomycota; Sordariomycetes; Hypocreales; Stachybotryaceae
Description: partial 28S ribosomal RNA
Source: RNAcentral